Molecule: long non-coding RNA, 10653 nt
Filed under: Octopus vulgaris (common octopus)
Lineage: Eukaryota; Metazoa; Mollusca; Cephalopoda; Octopoda; Octopodidae
Source: RNAcentral
AAGAAAUUGGUGACAUUACUGAACUUACAGAAGUAAAGGUAACUUGCAGUUCACGCUUGUUGUUAGAUUAGUGAAUUUUUUUUUAAAGUAUUUAGAAAAAUACCAUAUCAAAUAUGGUAGAAGCUGGUGAUUCAGUUCCAGAUGUUUUGUUUAGUCAAAUUAAUGCUUGCUCAAGGUGGUGAUCGGGCAGAGACGUUCACCAGGCAAAAUGCUUAGCAACAUUUCAUCUAUCUUUGCAUUCUAAGUUCAAAUUCUGCUGAGGUUAACCUCAUCUUUCAUCCUUUUGGGGGGUCAAUGUAAUUGACUUACCUCCUUCCCCAAAAUUACUGGCCUUGUGCCAUAAAAUGAAAUUUAUACUUGUCCAAUCAACAAUAAAGUAUUAAGAAAACUGGUUAGGAAAUAUUUACAAAUAUUUGGUCUAGAUGGCUGGUGAUUGAUUGAUUGAUUGAUUGAUUGAUUCUAGUUUCAGAUUUGGCUUUCACAAAAAGUUGAGAUGAAAAAGAUAUUUGAUAAGAUAUAAAUUGUUAGAUUUAAAAUUAGAAUUUAUUAUUUGUAUUUUUUUUUUUUUAAACUUUGAAAGUAAGUUUCUUCUGUUGUCAGGUAAGCGAGUAUUGUCUGCCUCAGUUCACUUAGCUAAACACUGUGGUAAACUUGCAUUCUAUCUCAUCCACUCACUACUACAGAAACCAAGAAUUAAAUACCUGCAAAGAAAACUCAAGAUCUGUUGAAGAAUUAAUUUCAGAGAAAUGCUGUGUCAUAUUCUUAUGUGAUGGAGAUGUUUGUGAGUAGGACGACAUGUCCAAGAAUGUUUGUAGUGUCUUGUGUGGCAGAAUUGAAAGACUGACAUGUUAGCAUUUGAAUAUCAAAAAAAUUUCAGAACAUUCGUUUAAGCCUUAAUUCUAUUUCUUUUUUCUUCUUCUUUAUGUCAGCUGUCAGAACUGUGUCCCUUGGAUUUGGUCAUAGGUGGAUCUCCUUGUAAUGAUUUGUCUUUGGUUAAUCCUGCUCGCAAAGGAUUCUCUGAAGGUAUAGUUUACAUACUCUGUAUAUAUUGCUAUUGUUAAGUACCCAACCAGUAUGUACGUGAUUGCACACACGCACACACAUAUAAUCAUCAUCAUUUAAUGUUUGCUUUCCAUAGUGGCAUGGGUUAAACGGUUUGACUGGAACUGGUAAGCCAGAGGGCUGCACCAGGUUCCAGUCUGAUUUGGCAUGGUUUCUAUGGCUGGAUGCCCUUCCUAAUGCCAACCACUCCUAGAGUGUAACAGGUGCUUUCUAUGUGCCACCAGCAUGGGUGCCAUUUACUUGACAUUGACAAUGAAGACUACAAUUUCACUUAGUUUGACCAAGUUUUCCCAAGCACAACAUCCCCAAAGGUCUUGGUUACUUGUCAUCACCUCUGUUGUGCCUAACAUUCAAACAUCAUGCUUCACCACCUCAUCUCAUGUCUUCCUGGGUCUACCUUUUCCGCUGGUUCCCUCCACAGUUAGAGCUCGGCACUUCUUUAAACAGCUACCUUCUUCAUCCAUGUGCAUCACACAACCAUGCCAGUGCAUUCAUCUCUCUUGCACACCACAUCUAAUGCCUCUUAUGUCCCAUUUAUGCUGUCAUGUGCUCACUGAUAUUGCACAUCCAGCGAAACAUACUGGCUUCAUUUCUUUCAAGCUUUUGAAUGUCCUCUGCAGCCACAGCCCAUGUUUCACUACUGUGGGGCACAGCUGUUUACACACAGGCAUUAUACAAUCUGCCUUUCAUUCUGAAGGAGAGGCUGUUUGUUACCAACAGAAGUAGAUGCUCUCUGGGCUUUGCUCAGCUCAUUCUUAUUUUAGCAUCUACACUCUUGAAGCAUCCAUCUCCACUACUGACUUGGUUACCUUGAUAAUGGAAGCUAUCAACUACUUCUAGGUAUCCUUAAGGCAUUUGAUGGAGUCUUAUUUUCUGUACAUUUCUGAUGCUGCUACACCAGUCAUUGGGUAUGACUACCACGCAUCACAGGACCAUACCAGCACAAUCGUCCCUCUUGCACACCAUAUCUGAUGCCUGUUAUGCCCAGCUUUUCUCUCACGAUGCUUACACUGUCAUACAUGCACACUCACAUUGCACAUCCAGCAAAGCACACUAAUUUCAUUGCUUUCAAGUCUACACAUGUCCUGUGCAGCCACAGUCCCUGCUUCACUGCUGUUAACAUACAAGCAUCAUACAGUUUGCCUUUCACACUGAGGGAGAGACCCUUUGUUGCCAACAGAAGUAGGAGCUCUCUGAACGUUGCCCAGCCUAUUCUUAUUCUAGCAGCUACACUCUCAGAACAUCCACCACUACUACUGACCUGGCCACCGAGAUAACAGAAGCUAUCAACUACUUUUAGGUAACCCACCCCCCUGGCAUUUGAUGGAGAUAUUGCUGCACCUCUUAUGUAUCCAUAGCUUACUCUGCAUAUAUCUUAUGGAAUUUCUACCUAUGCCUUUUCUACAGAUUGAGCAGGGCCAUCUACCUGAGGGGAUUUGUGGUUUGUCUGCUUUCCUACUUAUUAAGACUUUGGUUUUUGCUAGGUUAUCUCUAAUGCCUAUAAUUACUAGACUCCUGAAACUUCUCUAGUUCUGGUAGUGAUUCAGCAAUAAGAACGAGAUCAUCAGCAUAGAGGAGUUCCCAGGGGCAGCCCGUUUUAAAUUCCUCUGUUACUGCUGGAGGACCAUGAUGAACACGAGGGGAUGAGGACUGAUCUUUGGUGAACCCCUAUUUGUACCCUGAAUUCUUUGCUAUACUCAUUGCCAACCUUCACCUUACAGACAACAUCCCUGUACAUGGCUUGUACAGCUCUCGCCAACAGCAUGCCUGUCACUAGUUUCUGCAUUGACCACCAGAUAAGUGAUUGGGGGAGCCUGUCAAAGGCUUUCUCCAAGUCAACAAAAGCCUAGCACAGAGGCUUAUCUUUGGCUAGGUAUUUCUCCUGCAGCUGCCUUACCAGAAAUAUAGCAUCAGCGGUGCUUCUCUCUGGCAUAAAAGCAAACUGCAUCUCAUCUAGACUAACUCUCUCCCUAAUUAGUUGGGCUGUGACUCUCUCCAUAACUUUCAUCACCCGAUCCAACAAUCUGAUACCCGUGUAAUUAUUUCUAUCCAAGGCAUCACCUUUCCAUUUGUUCACUAUGGUGCUGCUAUACCAGUCAUUCGGUAUAGCUCCUUCAUGUACAACUUGAUUAACUAUACCGGUGACUAGAGCAUAACCCAUACCACCAGAUCUUUUAACCAUUUCAGUGGUUAUUCCAGAUGGGCCAGGGGCUUUUCCAAUCUUCAUAUCCUUCAUGGCUUUGUCUACCAUGCUACUGUCUAUUUGAAUUACUGGUCCCUCUGUUGGAUCCUUACUAGGCAGACUCUCCUCCCUCUCCCAUGAGUUCUCCACAUUUAAUUGCGUUUGUUAGUGGCACUUUCAAAUCUCCUUCUUUGCAGGGUCACUAACUGCCAGUGACCCAUCAUCCAUGUGGAGACAUUUCUCUCCUAUCACAUCACGAUUUUCUCUGACAUACUGUCUUGCAAUCAUUCCUCUCCUACCACAUCACAGUUUAAAACAAUUUACAAACCAUUCACUCCAGUUCAGGGAACCACACUCUUCUGAAGUCACCCAUUCAUACUUUAAACAAUGUUUUUGUGUGAUAUUUGUACUUGUCAUUUCUUCCCCCCCCCACUUCUAUUCUAUCAUAAAGCAAAAUGCAACAAGCAUAACUAUUUGCUGCAGAGUUGGAUAGUUUGUGUCUGAUAAUGAAAGUGAUGUUUCUAUUAAAAACUUGUGAAGGAUGUAAAAAGUAGUUUUAUUAAAAUCACAGUCUUUUUGCUGAGUCAAAAACACGUGAUCGUUUCCUCUUAUUUCUAGCCUCAAUUAUUCCAGACAAUACAAAUAGAUAAGUGCUCCCCGUCCUAUUUAUCGUCUUACUAUUAUGACAUGUAAUAUAUCCCAAUAUGUCUCAGGUGAGAACAGUAUCAGCACAUAUCAUGUUCCUUCCUAUAUUAUUUCAACCAAUCACCUCCUUUUUAUGUCUUUAUCCGCUGUUCUCUCUCUCCACUCUGCCACAUGUUAAAUACUUUUCUUAUCUGCUAUCAUUCUCAAUAUCCUCUCAUAAGCCCCAUAUUUAUCCUUUCGGACAUCCAGCAAUAGAAACUAUAGCUAAGAUGACAUUGCAGCUUGCCAGUUCUGUUUCAAACUGGCCUGGAAAUGGGGACUAUUUCCAGUAUUAUGAAGGCUUUUGAAAUUAGUGAAUAAAUUCUGUUUUACAUGCAUUUUAGUUGGAUAAUGUAUACAAUUCCUCAGUAUUAAAAUUUCCUCAUCAUAUUUGGUGAUAUUUAAAUAAGUUGUCCUCCAAAAUAACCACAUUCAUGUCAGUAUAUAAAAAGUUGUUUUAUGGAACCAAUUUAAAUCUCUUUGAAAUAUGUAGGGAUGUAUUUUAAGCUCCAACAUAUAUUAAUAAAGUUAAAAUGUAUUUUUCAGCAUCUCUCUAAUUUUAUAAACAAACAGAUUCAGUCAAAAUAUUUUCUUUCCAGAGGGUACCGGUAUUUUAUUCUUUGAGUUUUGUCGGAUUCUGUCAAUUGUUCAAAGGUUGUGCAAAGAUCGACAUGUCUUUUGGCUUUAUGAAAAUGUUGCUGCAAUGAAAACCAGUUACAAAAAUAUAAUCUCCAGAUUCCUAGGUGUAAGUACUAAUUUCUAAAUUAAGAUGUUGAUUAAAUAUCUGUUUUCAUAUGUUUAGCACUGUGGUAGUUAGAUUAGAUAACUUAUAGAAUCCAACCAGUUAUAAAUUUUAAGGUUUAAGUAAAAUAUAGCAUGUACUUCUGUUUUACAGAAUGGUAUGAAUUAAAUUUUGUUGACUUCGAAUUGUUUUGCAAAUGAUAAGUGUCUUUGAAUGGUUUCAGAAAAAAUACUUAUUGAACAUGAAAAUAACGAUUUCUUUAUUGUUCCUUCAAGGGCAUUGAGUGACAGAAUAAUGUUACAAACUAUGCUUAUUUGAUAAAAAUGAAGGUAUUCAUAUGUGCUAGUUCCAAGUGGGGUUUUAAGAGAAUAGAUAACAUCUUUCUAUCUAGAUGUCUUUUCAGACAUAAUUACUUUCGAAAGAAUUAUGCAUGAAAGCCUAAACAGGAUAAACUUACAAUUAGAAUGUUAGACAGGGCAGUGAACUGACAGAAUAUCUUGUGGGUAUUUUCCUCAAAAUUGCUGGCCUUGUCAGACAUGCAUUUGCUGUUCAAGAAGAAAGACUAUUUUAAAAUGUUAUUCUCUGAAUUUUUAUAAGAUAUUCAGUUGUGUUGGUGCAUUCACAAGAUUUAAAUAUACAGUCAAAGGUUUUCAAGAUAUUUGAGUCCACUUAAUUUCAUGAUUUACUUGUAGUGUAAACCUGCUCUCUGGGAUGCAAAGUUUUUCUCAGCACAACACAGGCCCAGGUAUUUCUGGGGUAACUUACCAACAAUAUACAGGUAAGGUUGACAUUCAAUUUUGAAAUAACUGCAUAAUCUUUUAAGCUAUAAUUUAUAUUUUAACAAAUGAAAUUAAACUAGAUUGAGUAAAUAGGAGGUAUUACUAGUCAGAAAUAAUUUGAUGACUAUAUUUGAUACAAUGUCUUAGCUAUGACAAUUCUAUCAUUUAUAGUGAAUGUCAUUUUUUCAUUAUUCCCAGCAGAAGAGUAAAAUAAUUUGGCAAUUUAGUCACCAAUGAUUGUUUUCUGACAUUUUAUAUAGAUAUUCCUUUGCAAUAAAAAAUAUUCUGAUGUAUAAAUGAGGAGUAAUUUCAUCAUAUUGACUUGCUUAGGAUAGUUUAUAUAGAGACGAAAACUGCAGUAAUGCUAAAGUAAUACUGGCCAGCUCAAUUCAAACUAAACCAAAAGUAUAUAUAAAAUUCACAAUGUCUUAUCUGUAUGUUUAGUGUCAGUUUAUCAUUUAAAGACUUCUUCAAUAAUUAUUUAUUUAAUGUAAACAUUUUCUUCCAGUUCACAGCCAACAACUGAAGAUGAUUCUCUUUACUUAGAUAAAAUUCUUUCACCAAACUGCAACAGAAAGGCUAGAGUAAGUUGGUUCGAUUUUCUAUACCUAGACAAUAGCUGUCUUGAGAAGUAUGAUUCACAACCUAUCAUAUCUGUAUGUUUGAAACAACAGUAUUGUCUCAAAAAUGCCAGUUAAUAAAUAUCGAUUCAUUAACUAAAUACCAGAAAGGAAAUAUAUACUGUUGAUAUGUUUGUGGUGCAUGGCUACAAUCCAUUAACUUAUAACAGUAAAGGAAGACUAAUACAUCAUUUAGGCAUUGUAAAAUAUCAAUGUAUUUUGUCAUCAGGUGAAACAGCUACGGACAGUGACAACAAGAAGUAACUCACUCAGACAGGGAAAAAAUGAAAAUAUUUUGCCAGUUGAAAUGGAUGGAGAAGAAGACGCUAUUUGGAUUACAGAAUUGGAAAAGUAAGUCUUUUCUGCUUAUUACGGUGAAAUAAAUUUCUACAAAUAUUUUGGUUCUUAGUUGCUGAACCUGCAGGAAAGAACUACACUCUUUAAACCUAUGGGGAAAAAUAUGGCAUAGAGGACACAAGGGUGAAAAUAGAGUAAUUGACUUCUCACCUUUUCAGAUAAAGGUGUAAUUAUUGUGUUUGAUAAAAAGGUAGUUGUCUAGCCCCAUGACCAAAGCUAUUUCAGCUGUGAUCAUCUGAUCCACUUGGAUUACAUAUCCCCCCCCCCACGACGACGACCAACUAAAGCCAACAGUUUAGCAGUUUUGCAAUUUGGCAACUAACCUUUUGGCCCCUAUCAAUCCUGACUGCUUGUUAUACUUUAAUAACUGGUAGCAAUAUUGAAAUGACAUUUUUGUGAUAAUCUCUGGUCAUUCAUCAUCAUCGUUUAAUGUCCGUUUUCCAUGCUGGCACGGGUUGGGCAGUUCAACUGGGGUCUGGAGAGUCAGAAGGCUGCGCCAGGCCCAGUCUGAUCUGGCAGUGUUUCUAUGGCUGGAUGCUCUUCCUAAACGCCAACCACUCCGUGAGUGUAGUGGGUGCUUUUUACGUGCCACUUGCACAGGUGCCAGACGAGGCUGGCAAACAGCCACGAACGGAUGGUGCAUUUUACGUGCCACCGGCACGGAGGCCGCAUGCUAAGCCCAAAUCUACUUUUGCUGUAAAGAGAACAAGGAACGCUUAUUCAAAAUGUUGCUCUUUGAUGAACUGAGGAAGUCGUCUGCUUUCAUUUCUGAUGCUGUUGUUUCUAACGAAAGUUUAUAAAAUGAUUUCCAAAAGCAUAACAAUAUUUUCUUUGGAAUAUUUUUCAAGUCAAUAAUUGAUAUUUCAAACUGCUAUGGUAAAUUCUAACUUGUGGCACAGCUUAUGUCUGCAAAUGUUUUCUUUUUUUUAGAGGAAAGCCUGUAUUCUACACUUUCCUACCAACAGAUAAAUAUUCCACAUUUCCUCUCUUUAAAGUUUGUAUCUUAUUUCAGAAUCUUUGGUUUUCCUACACAUUAUACUGAUGUACGAAAUCUUAAUCACAGCCGUCGACAGCGGCUCCUUGGAAGAGCUUGGAGUGUUCCAGUAAUUAAGUUCCUGUUAUCCCCAUUGACCAAAUUAUUCCACACUGCUACUUAAUGUAAGUAAAACAAACAUCAUUAUGCAAGAACAAACAAACAAUUAGUGUCACUGAGUGCACGUUUUAAAAUGUCGUUUGCAUCACUCCAGGUCACUAGACUUAUUAUUUCAUUCGAAAAGAGUACAAUGUUUUGGCUUACUCUCUUAAGUCUAUGGAAAGUAUUUCAAGGUCCAUAUUUUCUUAUUUGAAUUAAAUAUACCUUCAUCCUCCUGAUGUUUCUGUCAUUCUGUAUAUAGAGUUGUAUUAUUUGAUAGAGUUGUAGUAUAGACCCAGGUAAGUUGAUUGGUAGAAGCAUGUUUAUCUAUCAACUCCCAGUGUUUGUGAGGAAUUGUACAAACAUCAAUGUGUGUGUGUAAGUUUACUGUCUCUGUCAAGUAGUGGGCUUCACUGGCAAAGAUGUUUAGUAAGAUUAUCUUAUUUGGAAGAGUGCAGAAGUCCUUAUAACACAGAUGCUAGUGAAAUGCAUUUCCUUGAAUAGAGUAAACCAACUCUGAAGAAGUGGGUUUUGUGUGUUUGUUGCAUUGCUAAGUAAGAUGUUGAUAUCAGCAGAUUCUUUGUUGAAACCUUUGCCUGACUGACUGGAAAUGGCACAUCUGUUGUCAUAAGGCUGUUUCAAAGAAAGCCAGCCUCUCUUUGAUUUUAUCGUUCAUUAAAAAAGAAAAAGUCAAAAGAUGUCAACUAUAUUAGUUGGUCUCCAGAAAAAUAUCUUUUAACAUUAGCUAGAAGUUCCAAUUACCUGCCACUCUGCUCCAUCAGAUUACCAGCAACAAGACAUGAGAUUGUUAAUUUGUUGGAUAUUUUUAUAAAUCUGGCCUGUAUCUCUGUACUUUAUGUGUUGUGUCAGAAUCUGAAAAAGUCAAAUCUGCAGAUGAAUAACAUUGAAAAUAGCUUUAUGUUCAGAUGAAGCUGACGAUGGUGAAGGCUGUAGUGAAAAUAAGUGACAAAAGAAAAUUUGGGAAGUAAUUUGUUAAAUAUAUUUACUAUCUUGUGUACAAAAAAAAAAAAAAAAAAAAAGAGACAUUUAUAUGUCUAAAGUAAAUUUUAUAUUUUCCAUGAAUCCCAUUAAAUAAAUUCUACACAGAUUGUGGAGAUUGGCUCCUAGCUGAUGACACUUAACGGCCAUGCAGACAUAUCAUGGUUGGGGGGAGGGGCACGAGAAAAAAAAAUAUAUGCAAUGAAAAUAGAAUGUUACACUAUUUACAUUGAUUAAAAACUGUCUUACACAAAGGGGUGGGGAGUUGAAUGAGGAGACAUUAGUUUGUUGGGUCCGAUCAGCUUCUUAAUUUAUUUGCUUGGAAUCAGCUGCAGUUUGCCAAUAAUAAUAAUAAUAAUAAUGGUGGCAGGGGAGAAUUAGUGUAGCGAUUGUCUGAGGAAUGAAAGAAAUGGUUGGGAGAAACAAUAACUAAGUGACAGCAAAUUUGUGAGGCAUUGGGUAUCAAGUAAUUUCAACAAUGGGUUUAUUUAAAAUAAAAUGAAACUCAAUGGAAACUGUAAAAUUACAGAACCCUUCCUUUACUAUAACAAAGAAUCUCAAACCCCUAUGAACCACUGAGAUUUAUUUUUCAAUAAAGUAAUAUUUCUGGUUGAUUUCUUCAUGGUAGCAGGUAUUGGAUAUGAAGAAGAAAUGUUUAAACAAAUAUAUUUUUCUGCUGACAAACUGAAACAAGUUGAAUAUUUUAACUCGGAGAGAGAAAUACUGCAAUGACAUGGUUGGAACCCAUUUUCACAGCAUUUGCACCAUAAAAAAAUUCAAAAGCAGUGACAUGCAUUGAAAAAUAUUGGCAUGAUAAUAUAAAAAAACCUUAGUGUAAACUUACUAUCUUAUGUGUGUCUAUAGCUGCACAACCAAAUAGACAUUUCACUGCAUUUUAUAUCAAUUACUAACAUAAUUAAACAAAGUGGGUCUCCUAAAUACUAGAGCAAGCAACUAUGAACAUUGCACUAGCUAUGAGAGAGGCAGGAAAAGGGUGGAUCUGGCUUAGCUGAGCACUCCACAGACUCUUGUACCCUUAACAUAAUUCUUGAGUAGAAUCAGCAUGACAAGGCUGUACAAUUCAUUUGAUAUUUGGCUUGAAGAUACAGAUUUACACACACACACAAAGGACAAUUACUUUCAAAUUUAUGGAGAGGUAAAAUAAGCUGUUUUUACGGUGAUGUAAUUAUUGAUUUGGGCUUUGGAAUUUUCAAAGGGUGAAAGAAAAGAAAAAGUUUGUUAGAGGAAAAUAAGAUUAAAUGAGAGGGGCAGAAAGAAGAGAUAAAGGGUUGAUUACAGUAUAAAAGAUAUAUAAAUGUAAAAUACUCUUGAAUUCACAAGGGAGAGAUUGAAAUGUGUUAAACUGACAUUUCAUAACACACAUGGGCAUUGUGUUGAAAAACUAUUAUAAAACAGUUUGAAAGAGAAUAACUCAUCUCAACACUUUCAAGCAAAUACACACACACACAGUCCUAACACAUAUAUCUAUAUAUUUUUCAGACACAUUCUUGUGGUUUGAGAGGUAUCCAAAUAAAGGGCAACUUCUUGUUAUCCCCAGACAUGCCAGCAUCAGAAACCAAAAGCUAGAAGGGAAGCUUAACUAAGUCCAGUAAACUAAAUCGCCUUCACUGCAUGUUUUCCAUUACUAAUUGUUCUCAAUUGGCUGGAAUUUGCAGCUUGUUUUCAAAACAAAUUAAAAUAAACCAAAUUGUCUAGAUCAGUCCUUAAAACUGUUAUGAACUUGCUUGUAGCUAACAAUGGUAGACAGAGCCCCUGCCCCCAGUUAGUGUGCAACAGGUUGUUAGUGGCUAAAUAAAUGAACAACUGCAAAUCACAGUGGUUAGAGGAUGAGUAUAUAAGGGAUUGGUUGCUGGUCACAGUGAAUGGUAAUUAAGGUUAAUCAGAGAUCAGUUAACAUGUUCCGCAAAGCCAUUCAUUGACAGGUCGGGGUAUUGAUAUCGUUGUAUUUCAUUGGGAGAGGAAGAAGAGGAGGGGAAGGUUGUGGUGGCAUUGGCUGCAGCAUAAAGGGUGUGAGUGGAGCAGGAGUUGGUGGUUAACUGGGUAGGUGGGUAUCAUCAUGGUAAGGGUGGCCAGUG